ACUCAGCUGACGAGUCCCAAGUGAGACAAAACGCGCGUCCUGGAU
Non-coding RNA from Schistosoma mansoni, 45 nucleotides. Lineage: Eukaryota; Metazoa; Platyhelminthes; Trematoda; Strigeidida; Schistosomatidae. The record is from Rfam.